ACGGUGGAUGUGGCUUCCAUUGGAUUCAUGUGUCCGAAAAUGAUUUCAGAAACCUACUUGCAUAGUGAUGCAGAUCGUAUCCUACUAUACAUAACAUGUGAUGGAAAAACAAAAAUCUAAGCAGUUCAUCUUAUGCCCAUACCAUGAAAAGAAUCAUUGGGUUCUUUUGGUCUUAUGCAUGGCUAAACGUGAAGUCAUCAUCUUUGAUUCUUUGAGGCAGAAGCGAAAUUUAGCAAUUAAGUUUGCAAUGACAAAAUAAGUCUAGUUUGUUAUUAAUGUCAUGAUUUUAUGUGUGUGUAAGGAUAAUAGAUGGUUUUACAUAUUAUGUAUAAAUAUGUUAUUUUUUUCAAAUGUGUAGUGCUUUUUGAAGUUUCAAGGCAUUAAGUGGACAAUAUAGGGGAAGUAAAUUGACAUGGCAUUUGGGACAGUGUCCUCAACAAUUGGAGGGAC
Molecule: long non-coding RNA, 450 nt
Organism: Chenopodium quinoa (quinoa)
Lineage: Eukaryota; Viridiplantae; Streptophyta; Magnoliopsida; Caryophyllales; Amaranthaceae
Exons: 3
Source: RefSeq, a predicted model, not a curated record